This 478-nucleotide long non-coding RNA is filed under the name Gossypium barbadense (sea-island cotton). RNAcentral's name for it is "long non-coding RNA (GBAR_LNC018159)". The record is from RNAcentral. Lineage: Eukaryota; Viridiplantae; Streptophyta; Magnoliopsida; Malvales; Malvaceae.
UGCAACAUGGCAUCGGCUGCUUCAGGUUUCUUGCUAACACCCAAUGUUUCUGCAGGGACUUCUAAGACCACCAACAACAACAACAUGGUGUUUUUCCCAUCCAAGACCAACAACACUUCAAGGCUUGUUGUGAGGGCAGCUGAUGAGGCUUCACCACCACCACCCUCUCCAACCCCAGCAACCACCACUGCACCACCUGAAGGGGGUGAAGCCCCUAAGCCUAAGCCACCACCAAUAGGACCAAAAAGAGGCACCAAGGUUAGCUCCCUUACAUGUAGAAUAUAUCUGCAGAGAUGAUGUAGGGAAAAUAAGUAAACAUAAAUCACUCUCUGUCAAGCUUUGAUCAUUAAACAGGGAAUCAAAAUUGUUACUAUGAACAACAAGUUUGAUGAAAUGAUGUUCGAUAUGAUAGGUGAAGAUUCUUAGGAGGGAGUCCUACUGGUACAACAGCUAUGGAUCAGUUGUUACAGUUGACCAG